RNAcentral lists this ribosomal RNA (440 nucleotides) under uncultured bacterium. RNAcentral describes it as "partial 16S ribosomal RNA". It matches the Rfam family "Bacterial small subunit ribosomal RNA", at positions 338 to 795 of the family's 1533-position model. The record is from RNAcentral.
CCUACGGGAGGCAGCAGUAGGGAAUAUUGCUCAAUGGGGGAAACCCUGAAGCAGCAACGCCGCGUGGAGGAUGAAGGUUUUCGGAUUGUAAACACCUUUUGUUAGAGAAGAUAAUGACGGUAUCUAACGAAUAAGCACCGGCUAACUCCGUGCCAGCAGCCGCGGUCAUACGGAGGGUGCAAGCGUUACUCGGAAUCACUGGGCGUAAAGAGCGCGUAGGCGGGAUAGCAAGUCAGAUGUGAAAUCCUAUGGCUUAACCAUAGAACUGCAUUUGAAACUGUUAUUCUAGAGUAUGGGAGAGGUAGGUGGAAUUCUUGGUGUAGGGGUAAAAUCCGUAGAGAUCAAGAGGAAUACUCAUUGCGAAGGCGACCUGCUAGAACAUAACUGACGCUGAUGCGCGAAAGCGUGGGGAGCAAACAGGAUUAGAUACCCCAGUAGUC